CUAUACAUGACUCUGCGCAUAUCAAUAAGCGGAGGAAAAGAAACUAACAAGGAUUCCCUAGUAACGGCGAGUGAAGCGGGAAGAGCUCAAAUUUGAAAUCUUAAAGGGUUUCCCUUUACGAAUUGUAGUUUAAAGAAGUGUUUUCUGUUGAGGUUUUGGUAAAAGUUCUUUGGAAUAGGACAUCAUAGAGGGUGAGAAUCCCGUAUUUGACCUUUACUUUCAACUUUGUGAUACACUUUCAAAGAGUCGGAUUGUUUGGGAAUGCAGUCCAAAAUGGGUGGUAAAUUUCAUCUAAAGCUAAAUAUUGGCGAGAGACCGAUAGCGAACAAGUACCGUGAGGGAAAGAUGAAAAGAACUUUGAAAAGAGAGUUAAACAGUACGUGAAAUUGUCAAAAGGGAAGCGUUUGACACCAGUGUUGUUUUUCUGAAAAUCAAUUAAAGAACUGUUUAUGCUAAGCUGUUUAGACUUUAUCAGCUAACUGUUUAGUUUUGAGCUUUUCUUUAAUGCACUUUUCAGUUAACAAGUCAACAUCAAUUUCUUUUGCUGUAAAAAAGCUUGAGGAAGGUGGCUUGAGAUUCGUCUUAAGUGUUUAUAGCCUCUUGCCUAUGCAGUCGGAGAGAUUGAGGUCUGCAGCGUAGAUCCUUCGGGGCUAAAUGCAUUUGUGCUAAGUUAUAGCAUUUUAUAGACAACUUGUUGACUAUGAUUAGUCUUGUAGCUUACUCGCUUAUGCUAUUUUACCUACGCUUAGGAUGUUGACAGCAGUAUAGACUGU
This 773-nucleotide ribosomal RNA is filed under the name uncultured Neocallimastigales. Its description in RNAcentral is "partial large subunit ribosomal RNA". It matches the Rfam family "Eukaryotic large subunit ribosomal RNA", at positions 22 to 637 of the family's 3401-position model. Lineage: Eukaryota; Fungi; Neocallimastigomycota; Neocallimastigomycetes; Neocallimastigales. The record is from RNAcentral.